RNAcentral lists this ribosomal RNA (342 nucleotides) under uncultured Pelotomaculum sp. RNAcentral describes it as "bacterial SSU rRNA". It matches the Rfam family "Bacterial small subunit ribosomal RNA", at positions 1045 to 1382 of the family's 1533-position model. Lineage: Bacteria; Bacillati; Bacillota; Clostridia; Eubacteriales; Desulfotomaculaceae. The record is from RNAcentral.
AUGGUUGUCGUCAGCUCGUGUCGUGAGAUGUUCGGGUUAAGUCCCGCAACGAGCCGCAACCCCUACGUUUAGUUGCUAACGCGUGAAGGCGAGCACUCUAGACGAACUGCCGUUGACAAAACGGAGGAAGGUGGGGAUGACGUCAAAUCAUCAUGCCCCUUAUGUUCUGGGCUACACACGUGCUACAAUGGCCGGUACAGACGGAGGCGAAGCCGCGAGGCGGAGCAAAUCCGAAAAAGCCGGUCUCAGUUCGGAUUGCAGGCUGCAAUUCGCCUGCAUGAAGUCGGAAUCGCUAGUAAUCGCAGGUCAGCAUACUCGCGGUCGAAUACGUUCCCGGGCCUU